Molecule: ribosomal RNA, 468 nt
Filed under: uncultured bacterium
Lineage: Bacteria
Description: partial 16S ribosomal RNA
Rfam family: Bacterial small subunit ribosomal RNA
Source: RNAcentral
GACGAACGCUGGCGGCGUGCUUAACACAUGCAAGUCGAACGGAAAGGCCCUGCUUUUGUGGGGUGCUCGAGUGGCGAACGGGUGAGUAACACGUGAGUAACCUGCCCUUGACUUUGGGAUAACUUCAGGAAACUGGGGCUAAUACCGGAUAGGAGCUCCUGCUGCAUGGUGGGGGUUGGAAAGUUUCGGCGGUUGGGGAUGGACUCGCGGCUUAUCAGCUUGUUGGUGGGGUAGUGGCUUACCAAGGCUUUGACGGGUAGCCGGCCUGAGAGGGUAACCGGCCACACUGGGACUGAGAUACGGCACAGACUCCUACGGGAGGCAGCGGUUGGGAAUGUUGCACAAUGGGCGGAAGCCUGAUGCAGCAACGCCGCGUGCGGGAUGACGGCCUUCGGGUUGUAAAGCACUUUCGCCUGUGACGAGGCGUGAGUGACGGUAAUGGGUAAAGAAGCACCGGCUAACUACGUG